Molecule: ribosomal RNA, 318 nt
Filed under: Triticum aestivum (bread wheat)
Lineage: Eukaryota; Viridiplantae; Streptophyta; Magnoliopsida; Poales; Poaceae
Description: partial small subunit ribosomal RNA
Source: RNAcentral
AUGGCCAUGGUGACCGGCAUGGCCAUGCUGUCGGCGCUAGCGAUCCUCAUCCUCAUGCCGUCGGCGCGAGGGCUCGACCGCGCCGAGUUCCCGCCUGGCUUCCUCUUCGGCGCCGGGACGUCUGCUUACCAGAUCGAGGGCGCAUACCUGGAGGACGGCAAGGGCCUCGGCAACUGGGAUUUCUUCACCCACACACGCUAGCAGCUACGUGCUUUGGUUCCCCAUAAAGUUGGCUUUGGCAACGGCCCCACAAUAUGCGGGAACUGGUUCCAUAGCCGAAAAGAGAAUAUUGACAUACACUGUGGAUUAUUGCCGUAA